UUUGCGUCGAAGGUAUACCGGUAAGGAGUGCUGGAGCGAAUAGAAGUGAGCAUGCAGGCAUGAGUAGCGAUAAUUAAUGUGAGAAUCAUUAACGCCGUAAACCCAAGGUUUCCUACGCGAUGCUCGUCAUCGUAGGGUUAGUCGGGUCCUAAGUCGAGUCCGAAAGGGGUAGACGAUGGCAAAUUGGUUAAUAUUCCAAUACCAACAUUAGUGUGCGAUGGAAGGACGCUUAGGGCUAAGGGGGCUAGCGGAUGGAAGUGCUAGUCUAAGGUCGUAGGAGGUUAUACAGGCAAAUCCGUAUAACAUACUCCGAGAACUGAAAGGCUUUUUGAAGUCUUCGGAUGGAUAGAAGAACCCCUGAUGCCGUCGAGCCAAGAAAAGUUUCUAAGUUUAGCUAAUGUUGCCCGUACCGUAAACCGACACAGGUGGGUGGGAUGAGUAUUCUAAGGCGCGUGGAAGAACUCUCUUUAAGGAACUCUGCAAAAUAGCACCGUAUCUUCGGUAUAAGGUGUGGUUCGCUUCGUAUUAGGAUUUACUCCGAAAGCGAAGAAACUUACAACAAAGAGUCCCUCCCGACUGUUUACCAAAAACACAGCACUCUGCUAACUCGUAAGAGGAUGUAUAGGGUGUGACGCCUGCCCGGUGCUCGAAGGUUAAUUGAUGGGGUUAGCAUUAGCGAAGCUCUUGAUCGAAGCCCGAGUAAACGGCGGCCGUAACUAUAACGGUCCUAAGGUAGCGAAAUUCCUUGUCGGUUAAAUACCGACCUGCAUGAAUGGCGUAACGAGAUGGGAGCUGUCUCAAAGAGGGAUCCAGUGAAAUUGUAGUGGAGGUGAAAAUUCCUCCUACCCGCGGCAAGACGGAAAGACCCCGUGGACCUUUACUACAGCUUGACACUGCUAUUUGGAUAAGAAUGUGCAGGAUAGGUGGGAGGCUUUGAGUAUAUGACGCCAGUUGUAUAUGAGCCAUUGUUGAGAUACCACUCUUUCUUAUUUGGGUAGCUAACCAGCUUGAGUUAUCCUCAAGUGGGACAAUGUCUGGUGGGUAGUUUGACUGGGGCGGUCGCCUCCCAAAUAAUAACGGAGGCUUACAAAGGUUGGCUCAGAACGGUUGGAAAUCGUUCGUAGAGUAUAAAGGUAUAAGCCAGCUUAACUGCAAGACAUACAAGUCAAGCAGAGACGAAAGUCGGUCUUAGUGAUCCGGUGGUUCUGUGUGGAAGGGCCAUCGCUCAAAGGAUAAAAGGUACCCCGGGGAUAACAGGCUGAUCUCCCCCAAGAGCUCACAUCGACGGGGAGGUUUGGCACCUCGAUGUCGGCUCAUCGCAUCCUGGGGCUGGAGCAGGUCCCAAGGGUAUGGCUGUUCGCCAUUUAAAGCGGUACGCGAGCUGGGUUCAGAACGUCGUGAGACAGUUCGGUCCCUAUCUGCCGUGGGCGUAAGAAGAUUGAAGAGAUUUGACCCUAGUACGAGAGGACCGGGUUGAACAAACCACUGGUGUAGCUGUUGUUCUGCCAAGAGCAUCGCAGCGUAGCUAAGUUUGGAAAGGAUAAACGCUGAAAGCAUCUAAGCGUGAAGCCAACUCUAAGAUGAAUCUUCUCUAAGCUCUCUAGAAGACUACUAGUUUGAUAGGCUGGGUGUGUAAUGGAUGAAAGUCCUUUAGCUGACCAGUACUAAUAGAGCGUUUGGCUUAUCUUUAAUAAAGCAU
This 1699-nucleotide ribosomal RNA is filed under the name Campylobacter coli. Its description in RNAcentral is "partial 23S ribosomal RNA". It matches the Rfam family "Bacterial large subunit ribosomal RNA", at positions 1244 to 2925 of the family's 2925-position model. Lineage: Bacteria; Pseudomonadati; Campylobacterota; Epsilonproteobacteria; Campylobacterales; Campylobacteraceae. The record is from RNAcentral.